GUUAAGCGACUAAGCGUACACGGUGGAUGCCCUGGCAGUCAGAGGCGAUGAAGGACGUGCUAAUCUGCGAUAAGCGUCGGUAAGGUGAUAUGAACCGUUAUAACCGGCGAUUUCCGAAUGGGGAAACCCAGUGUGUUUCGACACACUAUCAUUAACUGAAUCCAUAGGUUAAUGAGGCGAACCGGGGGAACUGAAACAUCUAAGUACCCCGAGGAAAAGAAAUCAACCGAGAUUCCCCCAGUAGCGGCGAGCGAACGGGGAGCAGCCCAGAGCCUGAAUCAGUGUGUGUGUUAGUGGAAGCGUCUGGAAAGGCGCGCGAUACAGGGUGACAGCCCCGUACACAAAAAUGCACAUGCUGUGAGCUCGAUGAGUAGGGCGGGACACGUGGUAUCCUGUCUGAAUAUGGGGGGACCAUCCUCCAAGGCUAAAUACUCCUGACUGACCGAUAGUGAACCAGUACCGUGAGGGAAAGGCGAAAAGAACCCCGGCGAGGGGAGUGAAAAAGAACCUGAAACCGUGUACGUACAAGCAGUGGGAGCACGCUUAGGCGUGUGACUGCGUACCUUUUGUAUAAUGGGUCAGCGACUUAUAUUCUGUAGCAAGGUUAACCGAAUAGGGGAGCCGAAGGGAAACCGAGUCUUAACUGGGCGUUAAGUUGCAGGGUAUAGACCCGAAACCCGGUGAUCUAGCCAUGGGCAGGUUGAAGGUUGGGUAACACUAACUGGAGGACCGAACCGACUAAUGUUGAAAAAUUAGCGGAUGACUUGUGGCUGGGGGUGAAAGGCCAAUCAAACCGGGAGAUAGCUGGUUCUCCCCGAAAGCUAUUUAGGUAGCGCCUCGUGAAUUCAUCUCCGGGGGUAGAGCACUGUUUCGGCAAGGGGGUCAUCCCGACUUACCAACCCGAUGCAAACUGCGAAUACCGGAGAAUGUUAUCACGGGAGACACACGGCGGGUGCUAACGUCCGUCGUGAAGAGGGAAACAACCCAGACCGCCAGCUAAGGUCCCAAAGUCAUGGUUAAGUGGGAAACGAUGUGGGAAGGCCCAGACAGCCAGGAUGUUGGCUUAGAAGCAGCCAUCAUUUAAAGAAAGCGUAAUAGCUCACUGGUCGAGUCGGCCUGCGCGGAAGAUGUAACGGGGCUAAACCAUGCACCGAAGCUGCGGCAGCGACGCUUAUGCGUUGUUGGGUAGGGGAGCGUUCUGUAAGCCUGCGAAGGUGUGCUGUGAGGCAUGCUGGAGGUAUCAGAAGUGCGAAUGCUGACAUAAGUAACGAUAAAGCGGGUGAAAAGCCCGCUCGCCGGAAGACCAAGGGUUCCUGUCCAACGUUAAUCGGGGCAGGGUGAGUCGACCCCUAAGGCGAGGCCGAAAGGCGUAGUCGAUGGGAAACAGGUUAAUAUUCCUGUACUUGGUGUUACUGCGAAGGGGGGACGGAGAAGGCUAUGUUGGCCGGGCGACGGUUGUCCCGGUUUAAGCGUGUAGGCUGGUUUUCCAGGCAAAUCCGGAAAAUCAA
Molecule: ribosomal RNA, 1508 nt
Filed under: Escherichia coli
Lineage: Bacteria; Pseudomonadati; Pseudomonadota; Gammaproteobacteria; Enterobacterales; Enterobacteriaceae
Also listed under: 1 other name
Description: partial 23S ribosomal RNA
Rfam family: Bacterial large subunit ribosomal RNA
Source: RNAcentral